Molecule: ribosomal RNA, 452 nt
Filed under: Pasilobus sp. 122 DD-2019
Lineage: Eukaryota; Metazoa; Arthropoda; Arachnida; Araneae; Araneidae
Description: partial 16S large subunit ribosomal RNA
Rfam family: Bacterial large subunit ribosomal RNA
Source: RNAcentral
UUCUUAAAGAAUUUUUAUUUUAAGUAACACCUGCUCAAUGAAUUUUUAAUAGCCGCGGAAAUUUAACCGUGCUAAGGUAGCAUAAUCAUUAGUCCUUUAAUUAGGGACUCGUAUGAAUGGUGAAACAUUUCAUUUACUUUAUUUAUAUAUUUUAUUUAAAUUAAAUUAAGAAUAAAAAUGUUCUUAUAAAAAAAAUAGACGACAAGACCCUAUUGAACUUUACUUUUGUUUAGCUGGGGCAGCUAAAUAAAAAUAAUUUUUUUUUAUUAUAUUUUUAAAUAAAUGAUCCAAUAAAAUUGAUUAAUUGAUUAAGUUACCAUAGGGAUAACAGCGUAAUAUUUUAUUUAAGCUCUUAUUUAAUAAUUUGAUUACGACCUCGAUGUUGAAUUAAUGUAACUUUAUUAAUGUAAAAAUUAUAAAAGUAAGUCUGUUCGACUUUUAAUACAUUACAU